GUGCUCACUUCAGCAGCACAUAGAGUAAAAUUGGAAUGAUACAGAAAAGGUUAGAAUUGCUUCUGUCCAAAAAUGACAGGAAAAUCUAUGAAGUAUUCUGUGUGUGU
Molecule: small nuclear RNA, 107 nt
Organism: Jaculus jaculus (lesser Egyptian jerboa)
Lineage: Eukaryota; Metazoa; Chordata; Mammalia; Rodentia; Dipodidae
Source: Ensembl